This is a long non-coding RNA of Gallus gallus (chicken), 1714 nucleotides long. The record is from Ensembl. Lineage: Eukaryota; Metazoa; Chordata; Aves; Galliformes; Phasianidae.
CCCUGCUAUGGAAUUUGCUGUGCUUUUUAGAGGAUAAUCAUUAAUGGGUUUUCAUAGCAACAGAUCUCCCAAACUGCCCCAGUCCCUCUCCAAACAGUGCUGUCAAGCCUCUCAAGCAGUACACAUUCCUCGGUUUGAUAUUAGAGCCAAUAUCCUUAUAGCACAGGUGUCUAAGAAUGCACACGGACUUUGAAUGGCACUAAAGACUUAGGAGCAGACCCAAGAACACGAGAGACAGAUAUGGUUGAGGGGCAACAUUUUCCAGCUGCUUUUCAGCCCGUGUGGCCCAUAGCGAGUUAAACCUCUGAAUCUCUACUGUGCUGCACCACUCCAUGUCUGCCUGUCCUUCAGGUCAAAGGCUUUUGUCCUGCUGUGGGAGGAGGCUAAACACUGCGGGCAGUACUGGCAGUUGCAGGUGCGAUUCUUCGCUAAACAACAGAUACAGCGUGGCAAGUGUUGAUAGAUAUUAACAUCAGUGCAGGUGUAGAACUUACACCAUAUGCAGAACCAGCACUUUCUUGCAGUCCCUGGGCUGAUGGGGAAACCCCUCUGUCUCAAAGCAAGCCACAUUAUCCCUAGCUUGCUCUUACAGAUUUCCGUAACCACCAGGAAUGCUGGAUGCCAGGGAGGAUGCAGAACCCAAGGAAAUCAAAAGGAGCCAUGAGUGUACUCUACAGGGCAAUGGCAGUAUUUGCCAGCUAUGGCUGCAAUACGUAUACACGGAAAGGAGAAAGUACAUGAAGUUCUACUUAAGGUUUUCCUAUGAGCUUCUACGGUUUUCUCUGGGAGCAUCACGAAGAGUUAGGCAACUCCAGAUUGAAAGACCCUGGCCUCAAGGGCUGAAGAAUAGAGCUACAUUGUAACAUCCUGAUACUUGCUGACAAUUUUCUCCCUUAAUAAAACGUUGCCGCUGUCCUCUCCAUUUAUAGCAUCAAAGAGAACCCUUCUAACCUCCUAAAUCCUGUUUUAGUGUCGUAGGCUACAGAUUAUUAGCCAAAGCACAACUGCAUUUGAUGUAGUUAUAUCAGGAAGAAACAUAAGUAACAUUUAUAAUGCAGAAAUACUUAAAAAAAUUUAUUAAAAUUUAUUAAAAUAUGUUUAAAAUUAAAAUUUAAAGCAUUUAAACUUCUGUGUGAGCUCCGAGGCAGCUCUGUCUUUGUGUAUUACUGAAUACGAAAUGCUGAGAGGAAUUGAUGUGGCGGUCUCCUUUUUCUCUAGUUACCCUCCUGCAGCACAGCGCAGCCCGCUGCCCCUACAGGACAGCCUGCUUCAUGACGUUGUCCCUCAAGAUCUCAUUCCACUGUUAAUUUUUUUGUUGUUGUUGUUAGAAUAAAACACCUUGAAGUCCUGCUCUGACUUACUGCCUUCCUGACUUUGCCCUGCAACUCCGAGUAACACCCUGCGUGUGUACUUCACGUCAAAGUAAACUCGAGUUAAAAACACGCUAUUUGCGAAGUCAUUUAAGGACGGAUGAGAUCGGUGUUGCCCUCGCACUACUUACUGCAAUGUUUCUGACUGCAAAUUGCCCCAGAGCAGCUCUCUGGGCAGCAUGCUUUCUGCCACCUCAGGCGCUGCCGUCACCCCGCAGGCGUAAAGCUGCCGUACGCGCCCGUGAGACACCGUGAGAAAGCUCUCCUUUCUGCCGCUCUCUCAGGGGCUUUGUCUGGGCUUGGAGGCGGCCCGCGAGGAGGCAGCCGGGCUGCCGGGACAAGCG